UACGAAGGGGGCUAGCGUUGCUCGGAAUCACUGGGCGUAAAGGGCGCGUAGGCGGCUUGCCAAGUCGGGGGUGAAAGCCCGUGGCUCAACCACGGAAUGGCCUUCGAUACUGGCAGGCUUGAGACCGGAAGAGGACAGCGGAACUGCGAGUGUAGAGGUGAAAUUCGUAGAUAUUCGCAAGAACACCAGUGGCGAAGGCGGCUGUCUGGUCCGGUUCUGACGCUGAGGCGCGAAAGCGUGGGGAG
Molecule: ribosomal RNA, 245 nt
Filed under: uncultured bacterium
Lineage: Bacteria
Also listed under: 1 other name
Description: partial 16S ribosomal RNA
Rfam family: Bacterial small subunit ribosomal RNA
Source: RNAcentral